Molecule: long non-coding RNA, 3335 nt
Organism: Vitis vinifera (wine grape)
Lineage: Eukaryota; Viridiplantae; Streptophyta; Magnoliopsida; Vitales; Vitaceae
Exons: 9
Source: RefSeq, a predicted model, not a curated record
UAAUAUAUUCCACUCCCGAUAAGUCUCUACUUUGAGGGAACCCCUAAGCUUUCAGUGCUGAGUGCCAGCAAUCACCGGUGACUACUUCCUCUGAUCGGCGACAACUGUCGGCCACUGAUUGCCCAGGUCCUCAAUCAGAGUCUGCAUGAAAAUUUAUGCCCUAAUCAAGAAGCUUGUGCCUUGUGCUACUGCACCUAAAAGCCUUGGCCCAGUCCAAGAAAGCAAAGCACAGACUUAGACAGCCUGCUCUUGUUCCUGCAGCUUAUGCCAAGGUGAUGAAGAAGCUCUACUUCUGUGCUUAAAACAUUGGGAGCCCUCUCCAAAUUCUGACAAUUCCUGGUUGAAGCUAUUGCACAAUUUUGUGUUUCCUUCUUUUUGCUUUAAGGUUGGGGUUUUCUUUGGCCAAGUCUGGUGAUGCUUUAAUAUGAUCUUAUCACAUACUUUGAUGCCAAGAUCAAUCUUCUCAAGCUAGUGCUGUUUCAUGAUUUCUCAGAAGUAUGCAUAUAAAGAAACUGUGGUGUUUUUUUUUUAAGUGGUGAUUGAAAAACUCAAAGCUAUUAGAGAGAUUGUGUAUCGAGUGGCCAAUCCUAUAUAUCAAGAUGCAAAAGAGGACCAGAAAGAGUGAAAGGAACUUUUGGAAAUGGGGAAGACUACUCUUUACACCAUGACUGAUAUCGAUCUGUCAAUAUAUGCUUGCUACCAUUGGUUCUUAUUCCAAUGCCAUAAAUAUCAUCAGGAAUUUGAAGUCCUAUAGAAGUGGUGGCUUACACUUUAGUGGAGUUCUUCUCAGAGAAUGUUUAAACUGGUCAAGAGUUUACUGGGGACAAGGGCAGAGUGACUCUACCAUAUUCUCAAAGCAUUCAAUAUUAGUUUGCUAUUGAACCUUGCAAAAUUCAUAAAGAUGCUCUCAGUGUUCAGCUAGCAUUAAUAGAGAAUGAUAAGAAGCUAUCAGAGAAGAUCAACAUUCUGUGCUUGAUGGAACUUAUCUUCAGCCAUCCAUUGAAGAUUGCUCUACAUAUCAUUGCUGAGAGCAUGAAACUUUCCAUAGCAAAUGUGGAGUAUUUUCUUAUGAAGAGCCUUUUGGUAUCCUCUGUUGAUUCUUUGAAUUAGGAGGCCAUAAAAUGCAAGUAAGCAUUCAUGGGUGGUACGAAAGGACAAUACACCAAUGAAGUGGCCACCAAGUUGUUGAUGUAUCCGUGAAGGUAGUCUAGAAAACACAACAUCAAAGGAGUGGCUACAAAACUUUGAAUGAAAUUUGGAGUACCCCCUUUAGUUUCAGAAAGGAAACAUUUGGACUAUGGAUUGUGGAGAAAUGCGAGUUUUAAACUGCACUUACGGGACAACAGCUGCAUCAGCAAUUGAUGGGUGACUCACCAGAAGGGCCUCAAGCUCAGCAGGCGGUACCUGAAUGAAAAAUAGGUACGUUAUAAUCCAGCGCUACUUCAAUGGCAAUGUAGCAUACAAGUGUAUUAUACAAAAGGAGUUUGCAAUAAAAAUAACCCUCUUUUAAAAAAAAUUCUCAAUCUACAUUGCUUUAGAAAAUAUUCACCAAACUAGUGCAUCUUUGCUACAUCAACAUCUAUAUAUUUUUAUUUUUUAUUUUUUUCAUGUCAAAACCAGAGUCAUUGACAGUGGUUUUAACAUGAAAAAUAAAAAAAUAAAGUGAACGAUGAUGUACUAGAAGACUAAUUUGGUGAAUAUUUUCAAAAACAUUCUAGAUUUAGAAUUUUUUUUUUAAAAUUUUUUUGGAAAAGGAUUAGUUUUAAGGUAACCUCCUUCAAAAGUAAAGGACCUGACUACUCUACAAAAUCGUUCAACAAUGUUGAUGACCCUAAAAAUUAAGGUAACGUUUUAGUGUUAGCAUGUAAUUAUACUAGUAUAGGGAAGGUAAGCGAUCCUUGUACUUUUUGUUGCAUUUCAAUGUCAAUGACCCUAAAACUUAAGGUAACCAUAACUACAUGUUAUAGGAACCCAAAUGAUGUCGAUGACCCUAAUCAAUAAGGUAAACUUCUAGUGUUAAUGUGUAGAGGGAGGGAAGAUAAGGUAUCGUUUUGGAGUUAAUAUGUAAUAUUGUAACUAUACUAUUGAUGAAAUGCAGUCUACCUUCAUACUUCUCAUUGCGAUUCGAUAUUGAUCGGUAAUCCUAAGAAGGCAAUCUUUUAGUGUUAGUAUUUAACUACAUUAUUGUAGAGAUGGUAGCUAACUUACUACCUUUUAGGCACUUCAACAUUAAUCGAUGACCCUAAUGAGGUAACUUUUAUGGCAUGUUUGGAACAUUGGAAUAUGGAAUGAAAAGGAGAGUGGGACAUCCAUUCCAUUUCUCAUUUAUUACUGAAUUUGGAUUACUUGUUAGAAUGACAAUAGGGGAAAAAAAUUUACUAUCACGGAAACCAAAACCUACUCGUAUUAGGAUUUUGAUUCGUCUCUUUUCACAUGGUAUUUUGAUUCACCUUUAUUCUUAUUUAUAUUAUCAUUUCUAUUCUUGUAUGUGAAACAUACUUUUCAGAAAUGUUUGACAUAUGGGUAUAAAAGUGGAAAUAGGAUAUGAAUAAAGGUAAAUUACGAUACCAUGUGGAAAAGAGGAAUCAGAAUCCUAAUAAGAGUAAAAUUUGAUUUCCGCAACAAUUAAUUUUUUGUUCUUAUUCCCAUUUAGAAGAACAAUUCGAACAUGUUAAUGAAUAGGAAUUGAAUUGAUUUCCCAUUUCCAUUAUCUAUUCCACCGUUCCAAACUUCCUCUUGGUGUCAACAUAUGAUGUUCUUCUACGAAAUAGUAGGAUAGUAAUUGAAGGGGAAAAUGGAGCAUAAGAAUACAUGCCUGGAAGCCUUUGAAUUUGAUGAGUUCUUUCACUCUAUCUACGAUGAACACCUCUUCAUCAUCGUCAACAUAGCCAAUGUCACCGGUGUGUAGCCAACCGUCAACAUCGAUGGUAGAGGCCGUGGCCUCGGGAUCGUUCAAGUAUCCUAUAAUACAGGUAUUAUAGUUAAAAUGAUGAAUGAGCAUGCAUGGAGUUGCUUCAAUUGUUCAUUUUCUAUCAUAGUAGCUGAACGCUUUUCUCAGUAGUCAAACCUUUCAUAAUCUGUUGUCCUCGAAUGCAGAUCUCGCCCGGUUGGUUGCGGCCGAGGGAGCAACCGGUCUCAGGGUCGACGACCUUGAGCUCAGCAUUGCGGACAACGGUGCCGCACGAGCCGGACUUAGUAGGAAAGGGCUGCUUGGCGAAGGCUAGGCACAUCGAUAACACCGGUCCGGCCUCUGUCAUUCCAUAACCCUACACAUAAAAGCUUAUUAUUUUAUUAAUUUUAUUUUAAUAAAAUAAUAUUUUUAAAAUUUUGUUUAA